This 460-nucleotide ribosomal RNA is filed under the name uncultured bacterium. RNAcentral describes it as "partial 16S ribosomal RNA". It matches the Rfam family "Bacterial small subunit ribosomal RNA", at positions 338 to 795 of the family's 1533-position model. The record is from RNAcentral.
CCUACGGGUGACAGCAGUGAGGAAUAUUGGUCAAUGGACGAGAGUCUGAACCAGCCAAGUAGCGUGAAGGAUGACUGCCCUAUGGGUUGUAAACUUCUUUUAUAUGGGAAUAAAAUGUUCCACGUGUGGGAUUUUGUAUGUACCAUAUGAAUAAGGAUCGGCUAACUCCGUGCCAGCAGCCGCGGUAAUACGGAGGAUCCGAGCGUUAUCCGGAUUUAUUGGGUUUAAAGGGAGCGUAGGUGGAUUGUUAAGUCAGUUGUGAAAGUUUGCGGCUCAACCGUAAAAUUGCAGUUGAAACGGGCAGUCUUGAGUACAGUAGAGGUGGGCGGAAUUCGUGGUGUAGCGGUGAAAUGCUUAGAUAUCACGAAGAACUCCGAUUGCGAAGGCAGUUCACUGGACUGCAACUGACACUGAGGCUCGAAAGUGUGGGUAUCAAACAGGAUUAGAUACCCCUGUAGUC